UACAGAGGUCCCAAGCGUUGUUCGGAUUCAUUGGGCGUAAAGGGUGCGUAGGUGGCGCUGUAAGUCGGGUGUGAAAUUUCGGAGCUUAACUCCGAAACUGCAUUCGAUACUGCGGUGCUCGAGGACUGGAGAGGAGACUGGAAUUCAUGGUGUAGCAGUGAAAUGCGUAGAUAUCGGGAGGAACACCAAUGGCGAAGGCGGCUCGCUGGGACGGUACUGACGCUGAGGCGCGAAAGCGUGGGGAGCAAACAGG
This 253-nucleotide ribosomal RNA is filed under the name uncultured bacterium. RNAcentral's name for it is "partial 16S ribosomal RNA". It matches the Rfam family "Bacterial small subunit ribosomal RNA", at positions 524 to 776 of the family's 1533-position model. The record is from RNAcentral.